AUACGGAGGAUGCAAGCGUUAUCCGGAUUUAUUGGGUUUAAAGGGUGCGUAGGCGGAAUACUAAGUCAGCGAUGAAAUCCUGCAGCUUAACUGUAGAACUGUCAUUGAUACUGGUAUUCUUGAAUGCAGUUGAGGUAGGCGGAAUGUGUAAUGUAGCGGUGAAAUGCUUAGAUAUUACCCAGAACACCGAUUGCGAAGGCAGCUUACUAAACUGUGAUUGACGCUGAGGCACGAAAGCGUGGGGAGCAAACAGGAUUAGAUACCCUGGUAGUCCACGCCGUAAACUAUGAUUACUCGCUGUUGGCGAUAUAUUGUCAGCGGCUGAGCGAAAGCAUUAAGUAAUCCACCUGGGGAGUACGAUCGCAAGGUUGAA
This 373-nucleotide ribosomal RNA is filed under the name uncultured bacterium. Its description in RNAcentral is "bacterial SSU rRNA". It matches the Rfam family "Bacterial small subunit ribosomal RNA", at positions 523 to 898 of the family's 1533-position model. The record is from RNAcentral.